AAGUCGUAACAAGGUAACCGUAGGUGAACCUGCGGUUGGAUCAUUAAUGAAGGCUUUAUGCCAAACCAGCUUUUUAAGCUGACCCACCUUGUGUGAACCGUUAAAAUGUUUUUAGGCGGAGAGGUAAAAGUCCUCUCCUUAAGUGGUUUAAGAGUUUUACCAAAGUCUUUAAGUAGAUAAAUCUCCGCCUACUGCUAUUUUCUUGAAAAGGAAGAUGGCAAACAAACAAACCUUUUAUUGUCUUUCAAAUUAUAAAUCUAAACAAAUUUUUACAUUCUAAAAUAAAAUUUCGAAUGAAAAAACAACUUUUGACAACGGAUCUCUUGGCUCUC
This 332-nucleotide unclassified non-coding RNA is filed under the name fungal sp. RNAcentral describes it as "partial internal transcribed spacer region". The stretch from base 1 to 46 matches the Rfam family "Eukaryotic small subunit ribosomal RNA", at positions 1786 to 1831 of the family's 1831-position model. The record is from RNAcentral. Lineage: Eukaryota; Fungi.